Molecule: ribosomal RNA, 253 nt
Filed under: uncultured bacterium
Lineage: Bacteria
Description: partial 16S ribosomal RNA
Rfam family: Bacterial small subunit ribosomal RNA
Source: RNAcentral
UACGUAGGGGGCUAGCGUUGUCCGGAAUCAUUGGGCGUAAAGCGCGUGUAGGCGGUCCGGUAAGUCCGCUGUGAAAGUCGGGGGCUCAACCCUCGAAUGCCGGUGGAUACUGUCGGGCUAGAGUGCGGAAGAGGCGAGUGGAAUUCCUGGUGUAGCGGUGAAAUGCGCAGAUAUCAGGAGGAACACCAAUUGCGAAGGCAGCUCGCUGGGACGUGACUGACGCUGAGACGCGAAAGCGUGGGGAGCAAACAGG